This 450-nucleotide long non-coding RNA is filed under the name Vitis vinifera (wine grape). RNAcentral's name for it is "long non-coding RNA (VVIN_LNC005155)". Lineage: Eukaryota; Viridiplantae; Streptophyta; Magnoliopsida; Vitales; Vitaceae. The record is from RNAcentral.
GAAUAAGAAAUCAUCUGAGCUCAUCAUCAACUCCAACCGCUCUUCUUUCUCCUCAACAGAAACUAUCCGUCUCAAAGAUUUUUAACUUUAUACUAAACAAAAUAAAGGUAAGUAAGACAUAUUUGCACAUGAACACUAAACAACAGAUGUGUCUUCAAAUUAACAACUAAGCAGCAUAAAUUUUCAAGCCUCUAAAAAGAGCAUCAUCAGCCUAAAAACCCCCCGAAAAACCAUUGCAAUAUUCCAAAGAAAUUUACUUUUUCUUUCUUUCCUAAACUUUGAAGACCACCAGACAAAGAUCCCCAAUUUCAGCAAUCAAAACCAACAAAACUCAACAUACUCUAGCCCAAUUUCGAAAACCCCACACUGAAAAUGAGAUUGACUGGCCGGAGAUUAUGAGAGAUUGCCGUCGGCGAGAUAUUGAGAGAAAGAUCGAGAUUUCGUAGUGGG